This 499-nucleotide ribosomal RNA is filed under the name uncultured bacterium. Its description in RNAcentral is "bacterial SSU rRNA". It matches the Rfam family "Bacterial small subunit ribosomal RNA", at positions 28 to 517 of the family's 1533-position model. The record is from RNAcentral.
GAUGAACGCUAGCUACAGGCUUAACACAUGCAAGUCGAGGGGCAGCAUGAACUUAGCUUGCUAAGUUUGAUGGCGACCGGCGCACGGGUGAGUAACACGUAUCCAACCUUCCGUUUACUCAGGGAUAGCCUUUCGAAAGAAAGAUUAAUACCUGAUAGUAUGGUGAGAUUGCAUGAUAGCACCAUUAAAGAUUUAUUGGUAAACGAUGGGGAUGCGUUCCAUUAGGUAGUAGGCGGGGUAACGGCCCACCUAGCCGACGAUGGAUAGGGGUUCUGAGAGGAAGGUCCCCCACAUUGGAACUGAGACACGGUCCAAACUCCUACGGGAGGCAGCAGUGAGGAAUAUUGGUCAAUGGACGAGAGUCUGAACCAGCCAAGUAGCGUGCAGGAUGACGGCCCUAUGGGUUGUAAACUGCUUUUAUAAGGGAAUAAAGUGGAGUCGUGACUCUUUUUGCAUGUACCUUAUGAAUAAGGACCGGCUAAUUCCGUGCCAGCAGCCG